Schistocerca serialis cubense is the source of this 2195-nucleotide long non-coding RNA. RefSeq lists it as uncharacterized. The record is from RefSeq and is a predicted model, not a curated record. Lineage: Eukaryota; Metazoa; Arthropoda; Insecta; Orthoptera; Acrididae. The transcript has 3 exons.
AUGUACAGACAUGUGCGCCGAUGUCUGCGCAGACAGAUCGUUGCGUGUGGACCGGGCUUAACAGAUACGCGAUUUCCUGCCCACCACUAGUUAGUCUUUUGUUACCUCACGCUGCCGUAAUGUUAUUUUAUUGUUUUCAUGCCUGCCUGCCAAAGACCUUCGACGCCUGGCGCGUUACGGAUUGGGGGAGGAGGAGAUGGCUGACGUGACGAACAGCUGACUGGCAUCCGGCACUUGUCAACAUAACGGGAACGUGUUGCCGACGAACCAUACGCGGAAUGCGGCGAUUCUUCGUGGGCAUAACAACAUUUCCUAGAUCUUCCUGUUUCUGGCGGCGUCGAUGUCACUCUUCCCUUGCAUCAAACGUCGUAACUGCGUGUGACGACCAGCUCAACACAUAGGACAGUGAUAAAAGCAGAGUAAUAAGUGCUGUGUUACGUAUAGUGUUUGUGAGUCCUCAGAGGAGGUAAUGCCCCCCUAGUGAAAUCGUGUGAAGUUCUGCUCAGCUUAUAGGUAGGUCCCCAAAGCAGAGUACCCAAUAUUUCCUUAUGGUUUGAAAAGUGCUCAAGCCAACAAAAUGUCUUUUGUUUAUAAAUGAUUCACUCAAUAUAACUUGGUUGUAAAUGGAAAAUAUUUCUUUAAAGGUAUGUACUGAUUUUUGUAUAAGUAGUCUGUGUGCUGUGUGCCAAUUUACAAAUUUCAAUAGUUAAUUGAUAAAAUGUCUUACGCCUGUAACUGUAGUUUUGACAGAUGCAUAGUGUCAAUGCUUUUGUGUAUAUAGGUUUUACAUUUGUAUUAGGUUAUUUAAAAUUAGACUCAUUUAUUCAGAUUCCAUUCCUUAGUGUCAAUUAUGUUCUUUACCGUGAUUCAUGUGUGUAAUUAAGAGUAACCUUUACUAAUAUGCUUGAUAUCUCCAAUAAAAGGGAAACUGUGUCAGUCACAUUAUCUUAUCUUUUUUACAUUUUUCUUGCUGAUUAUCAGACAGUUAGUAAAUUAUGUGUAAGGUUCUUGCUGUCAUUAAAUAAUUUUCAAAUUGCUAUAUUCAUUGAUCAUGUUUUAUGUACAUGGAGAUAAGGUUAAUUAACAUUAGUUAUAUUUUGAAAGUCAUUUGUUCUCAGGGUCAGAUACUUAUUGCAACUACUUUGACAUGAAAUACUUAUUAGUGUAAUUUUCAAAUUUUGAUGUUUUAUUGUAUAACUUUCGCUAGGACUUCUGAGUCCCCUCAACAGGUAACCUAACUCUAGUUUUGUUUUGGUGGGGAUGUGACGGUAUUGAUGUGUAGUAUCUGUAAGUGGUUGUUCUUUGGAGGGCGACAAUGCCCAGUGGCGCAGAGAGUCGCAAGCAGAGGCAGUUGUUGAGAGGCUGUGGAAGGUGUAGGCUGUGUGAGACAAAGGCGGUUGCGUAGCGAAGAAUUUAUCUCUAUAUUUAAUAGUAGUGGCACACAGUUUGAAUAAUAGUGUGUUUAUGUUUGUGCAGUGUGAUAAAGAAUAUAAAUUAAAUUUUAUCAGUUCCUAAUGUGUCUCCAUCAGUUAGUAACACACCAUUGCAUUUAACAAUGAACGAAGUCUCGAUAUACACGGUCAACUACAACAAGAGGAUUGUAACAUAAUAAUCAUUAAUUAACCCAUAUAUCUCCAAAGACGAAGGGAGCUUAUAAGCAAUGAACAAGAAAUGGAAAAGUUCAUACAUCAACUGGUGAAAGAACUCAUGGGAACGGGAGAGCAGGAAGAACAGAUGAAAGAGGAUACAGGACAAAACUCAUCUAAGCUGAAGUAGUGCCAAAUCAGUUUUACAAAGGCAAUAAAACCAGUGAGGAAAAUGCCUGAUGAACUCCAGAAGUAGUUCUUACAAGGCUCAAACAGUUCCAGUUCCAACUGUAACAAGAGAUUAUGGUUUAAUGUCACAUCAAUGGUGAGGUCAUUAAACACAGUUGGUGCUGAGAAUGAAACUGGCUCUUUUUCGAAGGAAUGACAUUUGCCUUUAGCACUGCACGGAAAAUUGUCCUUCCAAGUAAGUCUGGUGACAACCACUACACCAUCUCAUUGAGCACAGUUGAGAACAUUUUCCCAACCAUUUAACCAAAAACAUGUUAGAUGUUUGUUAGACUUUUUUGGAUAAAAGGGCAAGGACACUAUAAACCUUUUUGCAACAUCUGUAAUAAAAAAUUCAAUAAAUAUUAUUAAUGGCACCUUACA